CACAUGACUCUCGGCAACGGAUAUCUCGGCUCUUGCAUCGAUGAAGAACGUAGCAAAAUGCGAUACCUGGUGUGAAUUGCAGAAUCCCGUGAACCAUCGAGUUUUUGAACGCAAGUUGCGCCCGAGGCCUUUCGGCCGAGGGCACGUCUGCCUGGGCGUCACGC
RNAcentral lists this ribosomal RNA (164 nucleotides) under Tetrapogon chlorideus. Its description in RNAcentral is "5.8S ribosomal RNA". It matches the Rfam family "5.8S ribosomal RNA". From Rfam's summary of the family: 5.8S ribosomal RNA (5.8S rRNA) is a component of the large subunit of the eukaryotic ribosome. It is transcribed by RNA polymerase I as part of the 45S precursor that also contains 18S and 28S rRNA. The record is from RNAcentral. Lineage: Eukaryota; Viridiplantae; Streptophyta; Magnoliopsida; Poales; Poaceae.